AGGUAACGUCAGGGCCUAAGGUUAUUAACCUUAAACUUUCCUCCCUACUGAAAGUGCUUUACAACCCUAAGGCCUUCUUCACACACGCGGCAUUGCUGCAUCAGAGUUUCCUCCAUUGUGCAAUAUUCCCCAC
RNAcentral lists this ribosomal RNA (133 nucleotides) under uncultured bacterium. Its description in RNAcentral is "partial 16S ribosomal RNA". The record is from RNAcentral.